GUUCAGAGCCAUGGUGAGUGACAGUGCCUUUGACAAACAGCUCCUUUGGAUCCACCACAAACACAGACGUUUUGGCAUCAAAAAGACGGUUUUGGGCCUCGAUCCGCUCCCGUUCAGGUCGUCUCAGAUCGGUGUGAACACUGUUGGAGACGAAGCUAAGAUGUCCGAUAAUUUAUGUCAGUAGCUCGCAUGGCUGCAAUUGCAGUGACCCCCAAGAUGCAGGAACCAGGAGAGUGAAGAUCAGGCGGAGGGCAGAGCACAGCUCGAAUGGCCUCGUCGAACACCGUCUUCAGGCCUCGCUGGGUCAGUGCUGAACACUCAAGGUACUUCACAGCCCCUAAGGAGCAAGAAGAGAGCAAGCUCAGAGACAUGUUUCCCAAAAGUUAUUAUUUCCUAAACCUAAUUCCUCCCGAACAUGAGUGUGCCUUCUAUCUUAUUCCUAUUUGAACUUUACCCAUAAUGUACCAUUUUUGCAACAAUAAAAAAAACCUCAGAUACAAGACGGCAGAUGUCUGAAUGGUUAAACAUCUCUGGUACCUCAGUUUUCUGUAUUAUUACGUUCCAAAAGACCUGUUGAAAAUCAAAUGGUAGAAAAACCUGAACAAUUGUUCCCAUAGU
Nerophis lumbriciformis (worm pipefish) is the source of this 618-nucleotide long non-coding RNA. RefSeq lists it as uncharacterized. The record is from RefSeq and is a predicted model, not a curated record. Lineage: Eukaryota; Metazoa; Chordata; Actinopteri; Syngnathiformes; Syngnathidae.